Molecule: ribosomal RNA, 492 nt
Filed under: uncultured bacterium
Lineage: Bacteria
Description: partial 16S ribosomal RNA
Rfam family: Bacterial small subunit ribosomal RNA
Source: RNAcentral
AGUGAACGCUGGCGGUAGGCCUAACACAUGCAAGUCGAACGGCAGCACAGUAAGAGCUUGCUCUUACGGGUGGCGAGUGGCGGACGGGUGAGGAAUACAUCGGAAUCUACUUUUUCGUGGGGGAUAACGUAGGGAAACUUACGCUAAUACCGCAUACGACCUACGGUUGAAAGCAGGGGAUCUUCGGACCUUGCGCGAUUGAAUGAGCCGAUGUGGGAUUGGCUAGUUGGCGGGGUAAAGGCCCACCAAGGCGACGAUCCGUAGCUGGUCUGAGAGGAUGGUCGGCCGCCCUGGAACUGGGACACGGUCCAGGCUCCUACGGGAGGCCGCAGUGGGGAAUGUUGGGCAAUAGGCGCGAACCUGAUCCAGCCAUACCGCGUGGGUUGAAGAGGCCCUCGGGUUGUAAAGCCCUUUUGUUGGGAGAGAAAAGCAGCAGGUUAAUACCCCGCUGUUCUGACGGUACCCAAAGAAUAAGCACCGGCUAACUUCGUG